This 875-nucleotide ribosomal RNA is filed under the name uncultured archaeon. RNAcentral describes it as "bacterial SSU rRNA". It matches the Rfam family "Archaeal small subunit ribosomal RNA", at positions 21 to 904 of the family's 1478-position model. The record is from RNAcentral.
CCUGACUGCUAUCGGAUUGAUACUAAGCCAUGCGAGUCAUUGUAGCAAUACAAGGCAGACGGCUCAGUAACGCGUAGUCAAUCUACCCUAUGGACGGGAAUAACCUCGGGAAACUGAGAAUAAUGCCCGAUAGAACAUUAUGCCUGGAAUGGUUUAUGUUUCAAAUGAUUUAUCGCCAUAGGAUGGGACUGCGGCCUAUCAGUUUGUUGGUGAGGUAAUGGCCCACCAAGACUAUUACAGGUACGGGCUCUGAGAGGAGUAGCCCGGAGAUGGGUACUGAGACACGGACCCAGGCCCUAUGGGGCGCAGCAGGCGAGAAAACUUUGCAAUGUGCGAAAGCACGACAAGGUUAAUCCGAGUGGUUUCUGCUAAAGAAACCUUUUGUCAGUCCUAGAAACACUAACGAAUAAGGGGUGGGCAAGUUCUGGUGUCAGCCGCCGCGGUAAAACCAGCACCUCAAGUGGUCAGGAUGAUUAUUGGGCCUAAAGCAUCCGUAGCUCGUUUUGUAAGUUUUCGGUUAAAUCCAUGCGCUUAACGUAUGGGCUGCCGGGAAUACUGCAUAACUAGGAAGUGGGAGAGGUAGACGGUACUCGGGAGGAAGGGGUAAAAUCCUUUGAUCUCUUGAUGACCACCUGUGGCGAAGGCGGUCUACCAGAACACGUUCGACGGUGAGGGAUGAAAGCUGGGGGAGCAAACCGGAUUAGAUACCCGGGUAGUCCCAGCUGUAAACUAUGCAAACUCAGUGAUGCAUUGGCUUAUGGGCCAAUGCAGUGCUGCAGGGAAGCCGUUAAGUUUGCCGCCUGGGAAGUACGUACGCAAGUAUGAAACUUAAAGGAAUUGGCGGGGGAGCACACAAGGGUGAAGCCUGCGGUUCA